AAAACCAAAAGCAAACUCUCAUCAAAUUUUAGUUUACUUGUUCAUAUGCAAACACCUCUCACCAUCGAUUUCAAAAACUAAUCAUAACUGCAUCUUUGAAUCAAAACCCAUCUCAGAAUUAGAACCAUAAUCCUUUAACAUCCCCUAAUUUUUGUAACCCUAGAUACAGUUGGUUAUUCUCCCGAAAUUGAAGAAAACCCUCAUCUCAUAUUCGAUAUAGCUGAAAGUACAAGAAGAAGACUUCACCAGGCAGGACAGGAUUGGAUUCGUAAUGAUAAUGGGUGAGUUGAGGGAAACGAGGAUAGUGAAGAAGCAUAUGCUGCUACAUCGAGUCAUCUUGGGUUUUACUGAUAUGCUAGUUCAACACAUCCCUUCUGCCAAAGAAGCUGCAGCAAGGAAAGUAG
Papaver somniferum (opium poppy) is the source of this 404-nucleotide long non-coding RNA. RefSeq lists it as uncharacterized. The record is from RefSeq and is a predicted model, not a curated record. Lineage: Eukaryota; Viridiplantae; Streptophyta; Magnoliopsida; Ranunculales; Papaveraceae. The transcript is spliced from 3 exons.